RNAcentral lists this ribosomal RNA (254 nucleotides) under uncultured bacterium. Its description in RNAcentral is "partial 16S ribosomal RNA". It matches the Rfam family "Bacterial small subunit ribosomal RNA", at positions 524 to 776 of the family's 1533-position model. The record is from RNAcentral.
CACGUAGGGGCCAAGCGUUGUCCGGAUUUAUUGGGCGUAAAGAGCUCGUAGGCGGUUCGACAAGUCGGGUGUAAAAACUCCGGGCUCAACCCGGAGACGCCACCCGAUACUGUCGUGACUGGAGUCCGGUAGGGGAGUGGGGAAUUCCUGGUGUAGCGGUGAAAUGCGCAGAUAUCAGGAGGAACACCGGUGGCGAAGGCGCCACUCUGGGCCGGUACUGACGCUGAGGAGCGAAAGCGUGGGUAGCAAACAGG